RNAcentral lists this ribosomal RNA (496 nucleotides) under uncultured bacterium. RNAcentral's name for it is "partial 16S ribosomal RNA". It matches the Rfam family "Bacterial small subunit ribosomal RNA", at positions 29 to 507 of the family's 1533-position model. The record is from RNAcentral.
AUGAACGCUGGCGGCGUGCCUAAUACAUGCAAGUCGAGCGAACGGACGGGAAGCUUGCUUCUCUGAUGUUAGCGGCGGACGGGUGAGUAACACGUGGAUAACCUACCUAUAAGACUGGGAUAACUUCGGGAAACCGGAGCUAAUACCGGAUAAUAUUUUGAACCGCAUGGUUCAAAAGUGAAAGACGGUCUUGCUGUCACUUAUAGAUGGAUCCGCGCUGCAUUAGCUAGUUGGUAAGGUAACGGCUUACCAAGGCAACGAUGCAUAGCCGACCUGAGAGGGUGAUCGGCCACACUGGAACUGAGACACGGUCCAGACUCCUACGGGAGGCAGCAGUAGGGAAUCUUCCGCAAAGGGCGAAAGCCUGACGGAGCAACGCCGCGUGAGUGAUGAAGGUCUUCGGAUCGUAAAACUCUGUUAUUAGGGAAGAACAUAUGUGUAAGUAACUGUGCACAUCUUGACGGUACCUAAUCAGAAAGCCACGGCUAACUACGUG